Molecule: unclassified non-coding RNA, 396 nt
Filed under: Zea mays
Lineage: Eukaryota; Viridiplantae; Streptophyta; Magnoliopsida; Poales; Poaceae
Description: misc RNA Zm00001eb165800
Source: RNAcentral
CUGCUAGCGGGCAUCCCCAUUGCAUCCAUCGAUCUGAAUCUGCAGAUGAGCAGUCUCAUUGGGGUCUUCUCUUUUUUAGAAAUGACUCAUGGGUUUCUCACCAUCCCUUCCACUUGGGGAUUUCAAUCGAAUGGUGAAAUGGAGUUACCAAUCAACCACUGGCUGAAUCAGCUCCCGGCCUGCCCGGGCUUAUCUCCACCGGUACAGGCUAGUGACCACCGCCGCUGGGAGCACAUCGCUAGGAACGUGCGUACCUCCCUCCAGUCCUUUCCUCACGCUCUUUGUUCUUUGGUCGGUUCCAUCAAGCGUGGCAGUAAUGUUUUGUUAUUGCAAAUUAUAGAUGUAAAUUCAGAUCAAGUAUAUGCAUUUGUAGUUUAUAUCACAAAGGGAAGCUAA